This 588-nucleotide ribosomal RNA is filed under the name fungal sp. RNAcentral describes it as "eukaryotic LSU rRNA". It matches the Rfam family "Eukaryotic large subunit ribosomal RNA", at positions 50 to 656 of the family's 3401-position model. Lineage: Eukaryota; Fungi. The record is from RNAcentral.
ACGGAGGAAAGGAAACCAACAGGGAUUGCCUCAGUAGCGGCGAGUGAAGCGGCAAGAGCUCAGAUUUGAAAUCUCACCUAGUGUGCGAGUUGUAAAUUGCAGGUUGGAGUCUCGGGUUAGACGUGUGUGCAAGUCCCUUGGAACAGGGUGCCACUGAGGGUGAGAGCCCCGUAGCGUGCAUGUCGACACCUGUGAGGCCCUUCUGACGAGUCGAGUUGUUUGGGAAUGCAGCUCUAAGUGGGUGGUAAAUUCCAUCUAAGGCUAAAUAUUGGCGAGAGACCGAUAGCGAACAAGUACUGUGAAGGAAAGAUGAAAAGCACUUUGAAAAGAGAGUGAAACAGCACGUGAAAUUGUUGAAAGGGAAGGGUAUUGGGCUCGACAUGGGAUUUACGCAUCGUUGCCUCUCGUGGGCGGCGCUCUGGGUUUUUCCUGGGCCAGCAUCGGUUUUCGUUGCAGGAUAAGGACAAUUGGAAUGUGGCUCCUCGGAGUGUUAUAGCCUUUUGUAGAUGCUGCGUAUGGGGACCGAGGGCUGCGGCGGACUCGUUUCGUCUCGGAUGCUGGCACAACGGCGCAAUACCGCCCGUCUGA